Molecule: long non-coding RNA, 521 nt
Organism: Mustela erminea (ermine)
Lineage: Eukaryota; Metazoa; Chordata; Mammalia; Carnivora; Mustelidae
Exons: 3
Source: RefSeq, a predicted model, not a curated record
UGAAAAGCCAGCGAGUGGUAAAUUUGGGGAUGAUUUUUGUAAUUUAUGGGGAGAAAGGUACUUCUCAGGAAGCGAGUUGUCUGCCUCUGAAUCGGGAACCCUUUUUCUCCCCUCCCCUGACUUCUGUCCAAACUUCGGGAAUGAUGCCAUUCUUUCUCUGCUGGUGACUGAAGCGUUUCUAAUUGAUCACAGACAGUUUGAGGUUCCUGCAUGUGUCCUCAGGGAUGCUUUGAACGUCUCUGGUCCUUAUCCAAGCUGAGCACAUGGUAAAGGUGGAAGAAUUAAAUGACACUGAAAAUUCUAGAGAAGAGGGGGAACAGAUUAAAACUGCAAGCACCAGAUGAAUGAAGACAGAGAAGAGUCAUUUAGGUAAGUCUCUGGUUAGAUGUUCUCGUAGUAAGCUCAGCUGCAGAAAGGGUGCACAUUGCCUCUGGGGGUUGUAGUGGGGGAUGGGGAAUACUAGAGCAGUCAUCAAUCUGAAAUUGCUUAGUUCCUCUGAGCCAUAGUGGUUUCAGUUAAAA